Molecule: ribosomal RNA, 919 nt
Filed under: Aspergillus oryzae
Lineage: Eukaryota; Fungi; Ascomycota; Eurotiomycetes; Eurotiales; Aspergillaceae
Description: SSU rRNA
Rfam family: Eukaryotic small subunit ribosomal RNA
Source: RNAcentral
AUAAAAAACCAAUGCCCUUCGGGGCUCCUUGGUGAUUCAUAAUAACUUAACGAAUCGCAUGGCCUUGCGCCGGCGAUGGUUCAUUCAAAUUUCUGCCCUAUCAACUUUCGAUGGUAGGAUAGUGGCCUACCAUGGUGGCAACGGGUAACGGGGAAUUAGGGUUCGAUUCCGGAGAGGGAGCCUGAGAAACGGCUACCACAUCCAAGGAAGGCAGCAGGCGCGCAAAUUACCCAAUCCCGACACGGGGAGGUAGUGACAAUAAAUACUGAUACGGGGCUCUUUUGGGUCUCGUAAUUGGAAUGAGUACAAUCUAAAUCCCUUAACGAGGAACAAUUGGAGGGCAAGUCUGGUGCCAGCAGCCGCGGUAAUUCCAGCUCCAAUAGCGUAUAUUAAAGUUGUUGCAGUUAAAAAGCUCGUAGUUGAACCUUGGGUCUGGCUGGCCGGUCCGCCUCACCGCGAGUACUGGUCCGGCUGGACCUUUCCUUCUGGGGAACCUCAUGGCCUUCACUGGCUGUGGGGGGAACCAGGACUUUUACUGUGAAAAAAUUAGAGUGUUCAAAGCAGGCCUUUGCUCGAAUACAUUAGCAUGGAAUAAUAGAAUAGGACGUGCGGUUCUAUUUUGUUGGUUUCUAGGACCGCCGUAAUGAUUAAUAGGGAUAGUCGGGGGCGUCAGUAUUCAGCUGUCAGAGGUGAAAUUCUUGGAUUUGCUGAAGACUAACUACUGCGAAAGCAUUCGCCAAGGAUGUUUUCAUUAAUCAGGGAACGAAAGUUAGGGGAUCGAAGACGAUCAGAUACCGUCGUAGUCUUAACCAUAAACUAUGCCGACUAGGGAUCGGGCGGUGUUUCUAUGAUGACCCGCUCGGCACCUUACGAGAAAUCAAAGUUUUUGGGUUCUGGGGGGAGUAUGGUCGCAAGGCUG